UAUUGUGAUGAUACUAUACCAAUUUCAUCUUUCCAUUGAGUUUUUCCAAAAAAAAAGACUAUGAAAAGAACUUCACUAAAAUUCGAUUUGCAUGUCAGUCUGAUU
Small nucleolar RNA from Candida albicans SC5314, 105 nucleotides. NCBI's taxonomy places the organism in Eukaryota, Fungi, Ascomycota, Pichiomycetes, Serinales, Debaryomycetaceae. The record is from RefSeq and is a predicted model, not a curated record.